CAGGACUGCGUUGCAUUUGAGAUGUUGUAAUCUGAUUGUGGUCAAUGGAGUUUCCUCUGUACUUUGGAUUCUGCAAAAGGGACCAUUCCUGGCUUAAUGGCAGAAGGAGGACUCCUGAAGCCUCCGAAGGAAGGAAAUCAUUACAGGGCCCUACACAAGUAGGUCAUGUGUUGUAGCUGCUCAUAGUUUAAGAGGAAGAAACACGGGACCUCAAACCUGGAACACGACUCUUUCAAAAUGCUUGUGAGCAGCCCAAGAAAAACAUCCUCCCGGGGCUUAUCUGAGAACCAUCUUCUCUAAUCGUCUCAAUGUGUCUCAUGUUUCCUUAGGAGUUUGCACCUACUUCCCAGAGCUAACGAGAUGCCGAAACAGAACACAGAAAACUGUAAUGAAGGGGAUUUAAUAGUUUGUGUUGAAGCUAAUAGGGUCCAUUAGGAGCUGUCAUUUUUAUAAACAAUGACGAUAUGCUACCCUCUUCUUUGGUGUAAAGUUGUUUCAUGCAGGACCCGUAAACAUUCCGUAAUGACCUAUGGAAAUGCAUGAGCAAGAAGCGAAGUACCAUUUGAAACAUGUGUUUUCCUCACAUAUUACGUUUCUUAGGAAAGAAACUCCCAGAGAUCAUACAUGUGCAGGCAUACACACAUGUUGUGAAGACAUAACACGUGUGUGCAUUGCAUCAAGAAAAUCGAAGAGCAGACAGCUCUCAAGCGCUUUUGGGUUCUGUAAGCUUGAGAAGUACCCAGAAUGAUUCAUUGGAUUAGGAAUACAGUUUCCAUUCUUUAAUUCAAACGUUGAUCAUGAAACAGUCACUCUUGUGGUAGUCUACCGAGACAUGACAGUACCGGAUCAUGGUGGUGCCCAGGAAGGCACAGCUGCCACUUUCCCAGUCAGCUGUGAGUAACCUGUCCCACAACCUCGGUCACAUAUGUUUCACUACAAUUUGGAUACCUUGUGUUGAAAUUUAUUUUUCAGUUGCAGCAGAUACAAAGAAAUGGUUUAUUCUUUGAGAUUCACUGAAAUAUACCCAAAGAAAACGAAAUCUGA
This is a long non-coding RNA of Ochotona princeps (American pika), 1044 nucleotides long. RefSeq lists it as uncharacterized. The transcript is spliced from 2 exons. Lineage: Eukaryota; Metazoa; Chordata; Mammalia; Lagomorpha; Ochotonidae. The record is from RefSeq and is a predicted model, not a curated record.